RNAcentral lists this long non-coding RNA (761 nucleotides) under Rattus norvegicus (Norway rat). RNAcentral's name for it is "long non-coding RNA NONRATT008781". Lineage: Eukaryota; Metazoa; Chordata; Mammalia; Rodentia; Muridae. The record is from RNAcentral.
GUGGUCUCUCCCUCUCUGCAUUCUCAGGAGUGCCCACCUGUCUGGGCGGCGAGCUCUCUCUCCCAGGGGUUUGGGAGCAGUGAAGUGUGGCCGGGAUCAGCGAGAUUCGGGCUCCAGCUAAAAACCAGAAGUGUCCUGUUCCAGAGGAAUUUUGCCUCAGUGUGUCCUGAGUCCACCAGGCAGGUCGCUUGGAGCAUAAAAGUUGGUCUUACCUGUGGUCUUGAAGCUCAAGUUGCUUGUGAGGGGGCUGCUUUUGAGCUCUCUGUGAGGGCGGCAACCAGGAGGGCCUGCACCGCCUUUUCCUGGAGCCCCUGUGCACCGGGAUCCCAGAUGGCAUUAGGUGUUUUCCUCUGGAGUCAGAAAUGUGGGCAGAGUGUAGUCUCUUUUUGCUUCCCAGGAGUGUCUGCCCCUCUGAAGGUUUAGCUCUCCCUCCCAUGGGAUUUGGGUGCAGAGAACUGUUGAGCAGUCCCUUCAGGUCCGGGCAGCAUCUGGAACGAGGGGGACCUGCUGCUCCAGUGCCCCUGUCUUCCAGUUCCAGGAGGCCCUAUACAGUUUCCUCUUGGGCCACGGAUGUGGGCAGGGGUGGGCAGUGUUGGUAGUCUCUCCCACUCUGCAGUCUCAGGAGUGCCCACCUGUCUGGGUGGUGAGCUCUCUGUCCCACAGGGUUUGGGAGUUGGGAGCUGUGGGCCGGGAUCAGUGAGGUUAGGAGGAUGAUACUUUCUAGUUCCAUCCAUUUGCCUAUGAAUGUCAUGAAUCAUUGU